CGCCAGCAGAAGAUGCGAUCUUUUAUGGGCUUCAAAUUUUCUUCAAAUCGAGACCAAAUUCGCUAUUUUUCGGCAAGAGAGCAUUGCCGCUUAAAACCGAUGAAAUAGCGGAUGAAGCGACCGAGAGGUUUACAACUGAAGAUAUCUUUAGCAACCCAGUUUUCUCCAGCAAGAAAAACCGAUCUGGGUAAUUCGCGAGAAAAAGAUGAGAAGAUUGGAGAGCGACAAAAACCAGGGCUUUAUACAGAAAGAAACCUAGGACACAAAAUUCUGAGAACGCCGACACAGAGAAAAAAAAGCAGAAGAAUGAAAGAAGAAAAAAAUCGAAUCAGAAGCCGGAGCAACGAGGGCGCAUGGGCAAUCAGGGCAAAACAGUCAUUUUAUUGUUAAAAAACCUCAAAAAAUGGCACAAAAAGAAGCAUUUGGAGGGCAUUUUUGUCCGUGCACUGUUCAUGAACAAUGUACCCGAGUUUCGGUUUUAGUAUAGGAAUAAUUUAAAUAUAUUCCAUCAAGUAAAUAUUGUACGACAGGUGAGCUAUUCUCAUUGCGCCACGUCAUGACGCCAGUCUAUAACCCAAGUAUUGUUUUAUCAAUGAGCUGUUUUAUCUGUUCGUAGUAGUAGUUUUUUCAUAUCUUGUGUGCUGCAGUUUGUAGUUUGAAUGUUUGAUAUAUGUUGCAGUUUGUAGUUUGUUAAUGGUACAUUUCCCUACUUGAUGCAAGAUCGCACUUGAUGUACUCCUGAAAUUUUUGUUUAAGAAUGCAGGUGUUGUUGUAGGCAAAAACGUACUUAAUGAACUUGAACGCCUUAUGGAGGAUGUAAAUGGCGCAAUGCGAAUUGCAAUGGGAAAUUUACCCGACUUUCAGGAUGACAGUUUUGCGGACAUGUUGAAUGAAGAAGCAUGCAACGGUGACAAGGUAGUCUUUAUCCUUUUUUUCUUUUAUCCCAAGGAAUAUCUUCAUGUUGUUUGUACAUUCAGUUCUAAUAUGUUUCUCAUCUUUGUUUGUUUCUUCUCCUAGUAGAACUCUGUUCUAACCUUUGCACUCGUAUGCUAAUACUUCUCUAUAUUACUGAAUACCAAUGUUUACAAAAUCACAAAUCACCUUGCAUUGCACAGAUGACAAGUAUUAAUACUUGACUCGCAAGCUUAAGAACAUCUCUUAGAAACAGUUUGGUUUAACACUUGAAACAUUCUAGAAAACUUGAAUUGUUCUUAAAACUAACUUUUAAGAACAUCUCUUAGAAACUGUUUUUUUUUUUUCAAAAACGUGUUUGGCAUUGAACUUAAAAAUUAUUUUUGAAUCUAAAAAUUUGAAAACUUGUUUGGUUUAACUCUUGAAAAAAAAAAUCUUUUUUUUUCCAAUUAUGUAUUUGUUUUAAGAUAUACAAAACAUAUGAAAUUAAACCUCAAACAUACUAUUUUUAUAUUCAUGUGCUAAUACAACACAUAUAUGCUCGAUAAUCAAAUUAAACUUCAAGUCUUAGAUAAUAAAUAUUACAUUAAAACAUUCUAGAAAACCAAUAAACUUUGAGACUAAUUGUUAUUGAUGUAAUCAAGCCACAUUGAUCCGGCUAUGUGGUCUCUAACAUUAUUCAUAACAUUGUCGUCAUUCAAAUUCAUGUUUUCCCCUUCUUGAUUCGCCCCCAAGCUUUCUUCAUCUACCACAUCAACGUCAUUGUCUUCAAAUUGUUGAAACAAAUUAUCAUUCCUUGAUUGCAUUGUAAUGAAAUUGUGCACGGCACAACAUAACAAUUAGUCUCAAAGUUUAUUGGUUUUCUAGAAUGUUUUAAUGUAAUAUUUAUUAUCUAAGACUUCAAGUUUAAUUUGAUUAUCAAGCAUAUAUGUGUUGUAUUAGCACAUGGAUAUAAAAAUAGUAUGUUUAAGGUUUAAUUUCAUAUGAAGACUUUAAGCCACAAUUGUUUGUUCCUAACUUUAGCUACUUCAGCUACAUAACCGGAAAAAAAAAAUUAAUUUAAUUAUAGUUAACUAGUUUGGGUAUAUCUACCUUGCAACCCACCGCUCUUAAAUUAAACAACUAUUCUUUACACAGUUUAUUUAAUCAGUUUUUGAGUAUAAACAGUGAUGUCCUUGAUUAAAUAAUUAUGUCAAACAAAAUUAAGAGAAAAAUAUAACCGCCCAAUAAGUAACAACAAAACCUCUUCAUCCAUCUAGUUUACGCAUUCAAAGUCGGGACGAAGAUCACACACAUACAUACAAAACCAUACAAACACUUGACAAUGAGAACUUAGGAAGUACGUGAUGCCCUUAAUGUACUAAGCAUUAAAAGUAGAUACAGAAACCAGUCAUAAACACCAUCAGGAAGCAAUUUGUAAAGAUUAUAUUCCCCACUCAAACAAUGAAAGAUAAUAAAAAAAACAACAAUACCUUUUAUUCUAUUACAAUUUGAGCAUCCAACCCAAAACCAAUUGACAACGGCUGAAGACGCCCAAGAUCAUUCAAACUAUUUACGUAACGCUUCAAUUCCCGAAAUGGGAUUCACACCCUCGAAACAAUACCUACUCCAAGAAGCAAUAUACUCUCAAAAAUUUUCAACUUACUAAUUUUGUAAUAAACACAAAGAAAACUUGUCAUUUUCUCACUACCCCUUUUCUGUUCAUUUCAUUUUCACUAUAUUCCUAAUUAAACAAAACUACACAACCCAAAACCCAAACAAAACCCCAAAUCAAUUUGAAAAAAAAUUAGUCCAAAUGAGUUCAGCCCAUCCCUCUCUCACAUUCUUCUUUCCUACCUCUGUUUUCGUACCCCCUAAUCCUAAAUUUUUCUUCCAUCCCUUCUCUACUAUUUUUCUCUGACCAUCCGCGAAACCUGAACACCCCUCCUUUCCCCUCCUAGUUUAUUUCAAACGGCCUCCAACCUGAUUAUAUUACUUUGCAAUAUCCACCCUCCAACUUGAUGUACUUCUAGAUCUGUCAAAAAACUUACAAGCUUGGAUAAGCAUGCUUCAAAACCCUCCAAACCAGAAUAUAAUGGAAAUAAAAAUUUGGCCAAUUAAAAUUUUCACUAAAAAAAACUCCCCAUGUCUCUCGUUUACAAAAAGCAUAAAAAAAAUUGCAAAAUCAAAACCAUUGCCGCUAGAAACAUGCAACCCUUUCUUGUAAAGGACAGAUCAAAAGAGCAGAAAAAAAUUUCGAACCCAACCAAAUAGAAGCAGAAAUUAACAAAUCUUAACAGAUAAUCGAAGAAAAGCAAAGCAAAAACCUCAAGAUUUUGAACAACAAAACCAACAAAGAAAGAGGGUAACAGAUUUAAUUACCCAAAUCAAAACGCCAGCAGAAGAUGCGAUCUUUUAUGGGCUUCAAAUUUUCUUCAAAUCGAGACCAAAUUCGCUAUUUUUCAGCAAGAGAGCGUUGCCGCUUAAAACCGAUGAAAUAGCGGAUGAAGCGACCGAGAUGUUUACAACUGAAGAUAUCUUUAGCAACCCAGUUUUCUCCAGCAAGAAAAACCGAUCUGGGUAAUUCGCGAGAAAAAGAUGAGAAGAUUAGAGAGCGACAAAAACCAGGGCUUUAUACAGAAAGAAACCUAGGACACAAAAUUCUG
RNAcentral lists this long non-coding RNA (3557 nucleotides) under Malus domestica (apple). Its description in RNAcentral is "long non-coding RNA (MDOM_LNC015865)". Lineage: Eukaryota; Viridiplantae; Streptophyta; Magnoliopsida; Rosales; Rosaceae. The record is from RNAcentral.